This is a long non-coding RNA of Pocillopora damicornis (cauliflower coral), 247 nucleotides long. The record is from RefSeq and is a predicted model, not a curated record. Lineage: Eukaryota; Metazoa; Cnidaria; Anthozoa; Scleractinia; Pocilloporidae.
AAGUUUUUGGCGCCAUGGAGUUAAAAGAAGGGACAACAGCUGACAUAUUUACUGGUACAACCAAGGGUCGAGUGGCCAUCUAUAAAGCUACGAUUUUGAAAGUUUGUGAUGUCAUGGAAUCCAGAUGCAAAAUGGUCAAGCUUCUUGUAGACAACCUCAUUCAAGGCCAACUCAUUGUGAGCCCAGGGAAAAAAAUACAAACAGCAGCUAAGUUUUCAGUUUAGGAUAACUUCAUUCUAAUUUAUUG